RNAcentral lists this ribosomal RNA (91 nucleotides) under Syrrhopodon revolutus. Its description in RNAcentral is "partial 26S ribosomal RNA". Lineage: Eukaryota; Viridiplantae; Streptophyta; Bryopsida; Dicranales; Calymperaceae. The record is from RNAcentral.
AAGGAAGAAAAGAUCUCAGUCACGCAUCAGACCUCUGAUCAGGGAAGGCUACCCGCUGAGUUUAAGCAUAUCAAUAAGCGGAGGAAAGGGC